CGGGGCGUAGCGCAGCCUGGCAGCGCACCGCGUUUGGGACGCGGGGGUCGGAGGUUCAAAUCCUCUCGCCCCGA
RNAcentral lists this transfer RNA (74 nucleotides) under Anaerolineae bacterium. RNAcentral's name for it is "tRNA-Pro". It matches the Rfam family "tRNA". From Rfam's summary of the family: Transfer RNA (tRNA) molecules are approximately 80 nucleotides in length. Their secondary structure includes four short double-helical elements and three loops (D, anti-codon, and T loops). Lineage: Bacteria; Bacillati; Chloroflexota; Anaerolineae. The record is from RNAcentral.